Cydia pomonella (codling moth) is the source of this 1339-nucleotide long non-coding RNA. RefSeq lists it as uncharacterized. Lineage: Eukaryota; Metazoa; Arthropoda; Insecta; Lepidoptera; Tortricidae. The record is from RefSeq and is a predicted model, not a curated record. The transcript has 2 exons.
AAAUGCUUGGAUAUUAAAAUAUAAAAUACAUCACACUUGAAUAACAUUAGCAAUAUAAUCACUUUUCGACAGAUGUAUACAAUUAUUUUGUAAUCUGACCUUUACUUGACAAAGUCAAGUAAAACAGCUGAAUUUGUAACAAAUACUUUAAAUAAAAAGAUAAAUUGUCAAUACAAUGAAUUAUAUCACGUACUUACAGAACAGGGUUACGAAGCCAAGAUUUAUCGCACGUAUUGAACGCAAUCGAUUCCAUUAUGUAAGCGAAUCGAUCUAUCGAUCUGUUUCCGCUCGAUCUGACGUUUUGCGAUAUUUGUGUUACUGUCACGUGACAGUGCUCUACAUUUUCUGUGUUUAUCUGUUAAGGUAAGGAAUCCAGUGGUUAGAUGCCGACAGAUCGUGACUUAUGAUUUCAUUAUUGGCGCGCGCCGUGCGGCGCCUGCGCCUAUAUUCUUAACACUUUGCGAGUGUUUGGUAAAGGGAGGACAUUUGGGCGUUGGUCUUUGGUUGAGAACGUGACAUCGUCAGAUUGGGAAGUGACGUUUCUAAAUAAUAUGACGCUCUAGGCAGCGUAUGGUGGAAAGCAGGCGUAAAAGCCAUGACAGGCUGACAAGUCGUGGGUAGUCUCAUUUUGUACAUUAUCAACCGUUAGAUCCGUCGCGAGAAUAAAGAUCUCUGAAGAGUCUGCUCUAAUAUAAAGCCAUAAAAGCCAGAAAAACUUAAAUUAAAAAAAAUGUAUCGGGGUGACAGAAGCGGAAGAAAAGCGUUUUAACAAAAAAAGCAAUCGAUGAGUUCGAUCAUAAAUAAAUUUGCGCAUUUUUAGAAUCAGAUAUUUUUAGCUUUAAAAAAAUCUAAGAUUUGUUUUAGAACUUACAUAUGUUCGACAUUUUUUUUUCUUUUUUUUUUUUUUUUUUCAUUCACAUUUAAAAAUAAAUUGAGGUCAUUUCUGCUAGCAAAAUGUUUUUAUUCAGUUGAAGAGUUUUUCCAAUACAAUAAUGAAUCUAUUUAAUCCUGACAUGUGCGUUGUAAAUUAUUUAAUGAAUUAAGUUAUAUUUGUUUUUUUAUAUAAGUAUUUGUUUUUGUAUGAAUUGACAUGUUAUCAAAUAUUUAUUUAAUUGUAAUUACUACAAAUUUUGAUUUUUUAACUUAUUAUUUUAUUUUAACAUUAUUUUAUUUCAUUUUUACAUUUCACUUAUGAAUUAAUUGUUUAAUUUAAUCAUAGAAAAUUUAUUUAUUUGCUGACAUGUCCACUCACUACUUAGUUUAAUUAAAUUAUAAGUAUGUAGUUUUCUAACACAAUAUAUUAUUGUUAAAGAAAUAAAUGAAUGAAUGAGUCAAGAAA